GGAACGAACGCUGGCGGCAGGCUUAACACAUGCAAGUCGAACGCCCCGCAAGGGGAGUGGCAGACGGGUGAGUAACGCGUGGGAAUCUACCUGGUUCUACGGAAUAACUGAGGGAAACUUCAGCUAAUACCGUAUACGCCCCAAGGGGGAAAGAUUUAUCGGUGCCAGAUGAGCCCGCGUUGGAUUAGCUAGUUGGUAGGGUAAUGGCCUACCAAGGCGACGAUCCAUAGCUGGUCUGAGAGGAUGAUCAGCCACACUGGGACUGAGACACGGCCCAGACUCCUACGGGAGGCAGCAGUGGGGAAUAUUGGACAAUGGGCGAAAGCCUGAUCCAGCCAUGCCGCGUGAGUGAUGAAGGCCUUAGGGUUGUAAAGCUCUUUCAGUGGGGAAGAUAAUGACGGUACCACAGAAGAAGCCCCGGCUAACUUCGUGCCAGCAGCCGC
RNAcentral lists this ribosomal RNA (443 nucleotides) under uncultured bacterium. RNAcentral's name for it is "SSU rRNA". It matches the Rfam family "Bacterial small subunit ribosomal RNA", at positions 27 to 518 of the family's 1533-position model. The record is from RNAcentral.